CCUAGAUGAGGGGAAGAAAAGAUGGUCAUCAACUGCAGCUUUAAUGUCAUAGCUUACAAGGUCCUUCAUGACCUUGAACACUACUGCCUCUCCUCUCUCCACAGCAUUCACACACACCCAUACCCCUCCUGAGGCCUAGUGACUACCUUCAGUUACCUGAAUUCGAUCUCCCUUCUACCCAGAACUCUCUACUUUUUAAAAAAUCUUUUAUGUUUCCUUUAGAACUUAGUUUACAUGUCAUUCUUUGUAAGCCUUCUCUAAACAAACUCCUAUCCCCACAUAAAUCUGUCCCUCCUCAUUCUUCCCCAUAGGAACUUAUACCUCCCAUGUCACAAUAUUUUUUAAUGUAACAAAUAUUUAUAUAACAUCUACUAUAUGCCAGCAACUCUUCUAGGUGAUGAGUGAGCUACAAUGGAAACCAGGCAGUAUUUCUCUUAGGAAACGUAGAGACUAAUAAGAGAAAUGUAACAGACACCUAAGGUAAACUUCUGACAGUGAUAAAAGCUCUGAGGAAA
Molecule: long non-coding RNA, 515 nt
Organism: Lontra canadensis (Northern American river otter)
Lineage: Eukaryota; Metazoa; Chordata; Mammalia; Carnivora; Mustelidae
Exons: 2
Source: RefSeq, a predicted model, not a curated record